This 438-nucleotide ribosomal RNA is filed under the name uncultured bacterium. RNAcentral describes it as "bacterial SSU rRNA". It matches the Rfam family "Bacterial small subunit ribosomal RNA", at positions 338 to 790 of the family's 1533-position model. The record is from RNAcentral.
CCUACGGGAGGCAGCAGUGGGGGAUAUUGCACAAUGGGGGAAACCCUGAUGCAGCGACGCCGCGUGAGUGAAGACGGCCUUCGGGUUGUAAAGCUCUGUCAAUCGGGACGAAGAAGAUGACGGUACCGAUGAAGGAAGCUCCGGCUAACUACGUGCCAGCAGCCGCGGUAAUACGUAGGGAGCAAGCGUUGUCCGGAAUUACUGGGUGUAAAGGGAGCGUAGGCGGGAAUGCAAGUUGGAAGUGAAAGGUAUGGGCUCAACCCAUGAACUGCUUUCAAAACUGUAUUUCUUGAGUGAAGUAGAGGCAGGCGGAAUUCCUAGUGUAGCGGUGAAAUGCGUAGAUAUUAGGAGGAACACCAGUGGCGAAGGCGGCCUGCUGGGCUUUAACUGACGCUGAGGCUCGAAAGCGUGGGUAGCAAACAGGAUUAGAUACCCGGG